AAGAGCGAUCGACAAGGGCCCACGUGUAGACGCUGGUACCGCGCGCGGCACGGCAGUACUCCUUGGUCAGCACCCAGUCGCCAGGCCCUUCCUUCCAACGCAAGAGAGCUAGGCGGCGUGUUCCGUGCCUUGCCUUCCCAAGCAAGCAAGCAAGCUUUCAUAAUGUAGUAUUGUAGUAGUUUCAUUCAAUUCACGAGUCACGACGUUCACGAGUCACGCCAGCAUCAAAGCCGUGCGUGAGUAGGCCGAUCUCUUGGAUGAUGGAGGAGGACCAGCAGAUAGUCGCUGGCGUGGACGCCGCGGCCCGAGGCGGCGGCGGCCUGGGCCGCGCGGGAGCCGUCUUUCUCACCGCGACCUGCGCCGCAGCCACCUACAGCGCGGCGGCGGCAGGGGACGUCCCGUCCGUGGCGUUCGUGGUCGCCAGCUACGGCGCGCUCCUGCUUCUGCUGCGCUCCCUGCGCGCCUACGAGCUGGCGCCGCCGGAGGCGGCUGCACGCAGGGAAGCGCUCAGGCGCAGGGUCUGGGCGCUCUGCACGCUACUCAGCGUGAUGUUCGCGUGGAAGGUUGCGAGCGUCGUCGCGACGCCGUGGCCGGUCGCUGUCGGCGUCUGGGCCGCGGCGGCCGUCACAUCUGCCGCUGGGUUCGUUCUGCUGUUCCGCCAGCAGCAGCGUCGCCAAUGAACGAGUGAUCGGUGGAUGUGUGUUCCGUCUGUAACUUGUAAGCUCCAAGAGCCUCAAAUAGUUACAGGCAUGGGAUGGGAUCGAUGCCUGGCCUGGUUGCUAGCUGCUGUUUUCCGUGUGCUGGUGCUGGUGCUGGCCUGGUGAUACGGAGGAAGAAAUGCUUUCAAUCUACUGUACCCGGCCGGUACGUUCAGAUGAAUUGUGAUGGCCUCUGCCACAAACCUAUGUGUACGUAUUGUAUAUAUGUGCAUGACACUAUUUUAGCCUCAUAUCACUAGUUGAUUGAUAUAUUUCUGCGAUCCAAUUAUGUGUUCGUUCUGCGAUCCAAUUAUUUCCUUGGAUUCAUGCAUGCUCCAGGAACCUUUUAAAUCCAUCAUAUCACUAGUUGAUUGAUAUAUUUCUAGUUCGAGCAUAUUCUUCAUUACUAUUGAAGUUAAGAGCUUUUUUUUAUUUUUGUA
This is an RNA transcript of Zea mays, 1138 nucleotides long. RefSeq lists it as uncharacterized. Lineage: Eukaryota; Viridiplantae; Streptophyta; Magnoliopsida; Poales; Poaceae. The transcript has 2 exons. The record is from RefSeq and is marked validated.